RNAcentral lists this ribosomal RNA (571 nucleotides) under uncultured Glomeromycotina. RNAcentral describes it as "SSU rRNA". It matches the Rfam family "Eukaryotic small subunit ribosomal RNA", at positions 548 to 1114 of the family's 1831-position model. Lineage: Eukaryota; Fungi; Glomeromycota. The record is from RNAcentral.
UUGGAGGGCAAGUCUGGUGCCAGCAGCCGCGGUAAUUCCAGCUCCAAUAGCGUAUAUUAAAGUUGUUGCAGUUAAAAAGCUCGUAGUUGAAUUUCGGGAUUGACACGUCGGUCGUGCCUUAAGGGGUAUGAACUGGCGUAGUCAAUUUCUCACCUUCUGGAGAACCGCGAUGUCCUUAAUUGGGUGCCGCGAGGAACCAGGACCUUUACUUUGAAAAAAUUAGAGUGUUUAAAGCAGGCAUUUUGCUUGAAUACAUUAGCAUGGAAUAAUAAAAUAGGACGGCAUGAUUCUAUUUUGUUGGUUCCUAGGAUCACCGUAAUGAUUAAUAGGGAUAGUUGGGGGCAUUAGUAUUCAAUUGUCAGAGGUGAAAUUCUUGGAUUUAUUGAAGACUAACUACUGCGAAAGCAUAUGCCAAGGAUGUUUUCAUUAAUCAAGAACGAAAGUUAGGGGAUCGAAGACGAUCAGAUACCGUCGUAGUCUUAACCAUAAACUAUGCCGACUAGGAAUCAGACGAUGUUAAUUUUUUAAUGACUCGUUUGGCACCUUACGGGAAACCAAAGUGUUUGGGUUC